GAUGAACGCUGGCGGCGUGCUUAACACAUGCAAGUCGAACGGUGAAGGCGGAGCUUGCUCUGCUGGAUCAGUGGCGAACGGGUGAGUAACACGUGAGCAAUCUGCCCCUGACUCUGGGAUAAGCGCUGGAAACGGCGUCUAAUACUGGAUACGAGCUGCGAAGGCAUCUUCAGCAGCUGGAAAGAACUUCGGUCAGGGAUGAGCUCGCGGCCUAUCAGCUUGUUAGUGAGGUAACGGCUCACCAAGGGGUCGACGGGUAGCCGGCCUGAGAGGGUGACCGGCCACACUGGGACUGAGGCACGGCGCAGACUCCUACGGGAGGCAGCAGUGGGGAAUAUUGCACAAUGGGCGAGAGCCUGAUGCAGCAACGCCGCGUGAGGGACGACGGCCUUCGGGUUGUAAACCUAUUUUAGCAGGGAAGAAGCGAAAGUGACGGUACCUGAAGAAAAAGCGCCGGCUAACUACGUG
RNAcentral lists this ribosomal RNA (468 nucleotides) under uncultured bacterium. RNAcentral's name for it is "partial 16S ribosomal RNA". It matches the Rfam family "Bacterial small subunit ribosomal RNA", at positions 28 to 507 of the family's 1533-position model. The record is from RNAcentral.